RNAcentral lists this small RNA (76 nucleotides) under Flavobacterium sp. 123. RNAcentral describes it as "Flavo-1 RNA". It matches the Rfam family "Flavo-1 RNA". Lineage: Bacteria; Pseudomonadati; Bacteroidota; Flavobacteriia; Flavobacteriales; Flavobacteriaceae. The record is from Rfam by way of RNAcentral.
UCCUAGCCCUGAUAGAAACGGCAUCCUUUUGUGACUGGGUUAGGCGCAAAAGAUAGAGUGAAUAGCAGGAAAUAGC